RNAcentral lists this ribosomal RNA (468 nucleotides) under uncultured bacterium. RNAcentral's name for it is "partial 16S ribosomal RNA". It matches the Rfam family "Bacterial small subunit ribosomal RNA", at positions 28 to 507 of the family's 1533-position model. The record is from RNAcentral.
GACGAACGCUGGCGGCGUGCUUAACACAUGCAAGUCGAACGGAAAGGCCCUGCUUUUGUGGGGUGCUCGAGUGGCGAACGGGUGAGUAACACGUGAGUAACCUGCCCUUGACUUUGGGAUAACUUCAGGAAACUGGGGCUAAUACCGGAUAGGAGCUCCUGCUGCAUGGUGGGGGUUGGAAAGUUUCGGCGGUUGGGGAUGGACUCGCGGCUUAUCCGCUUGUUGGUGGGGUAGUGGCUUACCAAGGGUUUGACGGGUAGGCGGCCUGAGAGGGUGACCGGGCACAUGGGGACUGAGGUACGGCCCAGACGCCUACGGGAGGCAGCAGUGGGGAAUAUUGCACAAUGGGCGGAAGCCUGAUGCAGCAGCGCCGCGUGCGGGAUGACGGCCUUCGGGUUGUAAACCGCUUUCGCCUGUGACGAAGCGUGAGUGACGGUAAUGGGUAAAGAAGCACCGGCUAACUACGUG